This 614-nucleotide long non-coding RNA is filed under the name Capra hircus (goat). RNAcentral's name for it is "lncRNA (ENSCHIG00000005491.1)". Lineage: Eukaryota; Metazoa; Chordata; Mammalia; Artiodactyla; Bovidae. The record is from RNAcentral.
AUUUGCUCUGAUUUACUCAGUUAUCACUAGCCAAUUGUCAUCUGAUAUUUUAGUUUACCAAAUAGUAUGUAGAGUCAAUGUAUAUUUGUCAUUUGACUAUUUUACAGCAUUUUUUCCUGAGAAAAGCUGCAUCAUUUGAAAAUAUCCAAAAACAUUUCAGCACACAGUCUACUCAAUUAAAGAGAGUAAAAUCUGCAGUUGAGUUGAAUAAGGACGAGACCAUAGUUCUAUCAGAAUUUCAGGAUGACAUGCAAAGCAAUAUAAAAGAGGUGAAGCUUCAAAAAGCAAAGGAGUUGGAGCGUUGGAUGACUGAGAAAAACGAAGCUAAGGAAUCUGUCUCUGAGAAAGAAAGUAUAGAUACUAUCUUAGACUACAUGCACGGCAGAUAUGGUUCAAGAGACCUGUCUUUCACUCUUAUUGAAGCAUCUCGACAAGCUGGCAUUAGUUACAUUGUUUAUCCCAAGAAAAAGAAGAUGAGACGGAGGAAAGGACUGAGACUCAGUAAACUUACACUUGUGUAUGAUGAGUUAUCCAAGCCUCCAAAAACUCUUAAAAGGUCUUGUUUAAUCAACAUUUGUUAUAGCUUAAGAAAUAUAUUAUGGUUUGGGCCUUAG